Molecule: long non-coding RNA, 2935 nt
Organism: Fukomys damarensis (Damara mole-rat)
Lineage: Eukaryota; Metazoa; Chordata; Mammalia; Rodentia; Bathyergidae
Source: Ensembl
AUGAUGCCUCUAUCCAGACGGAAGGACAGAGCCGCACAGAAGACAAGAAGCGGAGUUCACUGGGGCGGCUGGUGCUGCUGGUUGGUCCCUUCAGGGUUCCCAGGCCCAGGCGGAGCUCCGACCGUGGGGCGCACAUUUCAAGACCAGAGAGAGCCAGGCAGAGCCGAACCUGGCUUCAGGAAUGUCCGCAAUGGGCAUCCGUGGCAGACCACACCCCUGCUCCGAGGAAUGGGUCUUUCAGGGGACGCCACAGGCCCCUUCCUGGCAGCCAGCUUAGGUAGGUACCAAAUGCCUGGAAACGACGGCAGCCUCCAGGGCCCGGACUCACCUGCUGCACGGGGUGCAGGGUGCGGGCUGCAGGCCCCGCAGAGGCUGGGCUCUGAGCAGCGGGGUCAGGAAUGGGCUCAGAGCAGCCGAGCCCCCCCACCGCACCCCCCGCCGCUCAGAGGGGGAAGCCCAAGCCACGGAUCUCAGCAGCGGGGCCCCUCGGUUGCUUUUAGAGUCCUGCUCCCGGCGGUCGCUAAACUGGCAGUCUGGGCCUUGACUGACGCCUGCGCAGUAGUCUGCAGGGAAGGCGGAAAAGGGGAGGCUGAGGGGCUGUCUGGCCCCCUCUCCCCCAUUUAACCUUAAUCCAGCUCUAGGAGUCUUUCACGGGGACCCUGGGGCGGGCGGGGCCGAGGAAGGGGCCCGAAACAGAGCCCGGGGCCAGGUGGAAGCGCAUCAGGGGUCAGGGCAGGGAGCACAGCCUCUGACCCCCCAGGCGCCUGAAAUCGGAGCUCCCCACGUGGCAUGAAAGUACAGGCCCGUCUGCGGGGACCCUUCUCUCCUGCUGCUACCUUUCCAAGUCCUGGGCUCUGAGUGUCGGCCUCUUCCUGGGAAGGAGGACGGGGUGGGGUCCACAUUCAGGGAUCAUCUCAAGGGUAAUAAUAUUAACUGUUACUAUUUCUAUGCCCUUUCUUUGUGCCGAGCCCGGUUCUAAGAGCUUUUCGUGGGAGAUCAGCUGACACUCACAGGAGCCUCCGGAGAUGGAUAUCUUCGUUGUCCCUAGCUUACGGCCGAAGAGGCUGAAACACAGACCGGUGCAGCAACUUUCCCAGGGCCACACAGCUAGGAAACGGUAUCCGUGGGAUUUGCCCCUGUGAAGCUUGGAGGUGGGAGCCCGUGUUCCUCUUCCUACGCUUGGACGAGAGUGACGCUCCUGAAUCCUAACUCAGUGCUCUUUCCAAUUUAACCUGCUCGGCCGCAUCCAGUUAGCUUUUAGCUGGAAAAAGCUGCACGGACCAGCAGUGCUGACUCAGCUUCCCUUCUACAGUUUGCGCCAGUUUGUGAGGCCGGAGCAGAACACCUUUGGUGGCCUCUGCUGCCACCUGCUGGUCACAGCGAGGUAGGACAGCUGUGUGCUUUCAGGCUUCCCUCGGUCUGGGUGACGUCAUCCUCCCUGUGUGGACCAUCUACACUGUUGACUCCCAAAUCAUGCCCUCUUCUGAGAUCCCGGUCUGUGUAUCCAGAUGCAAACGUCUCUGACCCUGCAGUCCCCUGACAUCCUGCAAGUGACAACGGUUCCUAAAUGACAGAGCCGGAACCGGGCUCUCUAGCCCACCGACACCCCUGGAGGAGGCAUGUCGUCUCUCUCUCUGCCCCCCUCUUUCUUUUUGGUGCUGGGGAUUGAGCCCAGGGCCUCAUACAAGGUUUUUCACUUUUAAAUAGUUGAAAAAAUAGAAAAAUAAUCUCUAGUGAUGCGUGGAAAUGAUGAUGUGAAGUUGCAAUUUCAGUUUAUUUCUGCAAAUAGAGUUUUAUGGAAACACAGUUGAGCUCACGCACUAAUUCACCGUCUCUGCCGCUUGCUGCAAGGCCAGAGGUGAGCAGUAACAAUGCAAGCUGAAAACAGCCGCUGUCAGGCUCUGGAGAGAAAGCUUUGCCCAUGUGUACCCCAGAGAAAAAGGUCACCAGCUACAGGAGUGGCCUGCGGCGGAAGGAAGCCACCCCCAGCCAGGCAAGUUCAAGCUUCAGACAGAGGGUGACAGAGAAGCAGGCGGCGGGACGCGCUGUCCAGAGCACCCACCCUGACUUCGCAUGGGCAAACUUUGCCGGACAAUGAACCUGCGUCCUCCCAGCCCCUGGUGCAGAGCUGGGCCUGGACAGGAACCCUAGCUCCCCCUUUGGGAGGCUGUGGGAGAGCCACACCUCUAAAUGCACCGGGACAGCAGUGCGGGCCCUGGAGGUUGCUGGGGGUUCCGUCCCGAGCACUGUGGUUACGCAGUCAGUGCACCCCGUGGGGGUGGGGCAUUCGCCCUCUGCAGACCUUUCGGCCGCCAGUUCGCCGCCAGGCUGCACGAGUGGGUGCAACUCCCGCUCUGUCCACUAGAGGGCAGAAAGGCCCUGCCGGCCUCUGGAGGAGUCAGGUGGAGCUGCCGGGGCCUGGGGAGCGAGCCCUCCCUGCUGUUUACAACGUGACCUUUGAUCCGCUCCUGUUGUCUCCACAGCCUGCUGGGGGCCAGACUGUUGCAGUUUCCUGCUGGGGCGGGCCAGGCUCUUUCUAGCCCGCCUAUGGAGGCCGGGUCCUUGCAGGAACGCUCCUGGGCCCCGGGCCCAGGUCCUGGAUGCAGGCAGAGGAAGCGGCACUACACCCUCUAUCGAGGUAACCUGCCCAAGACCCACAGGCAGUGGCUCUGUCCUGGACAGGUGUCCUUAGGGACCACCAAUCUCCCGGGAGGCUCUGCCUCCUGCAGCUUCUUACGGCCACCGGAUUCUGGCCACAGCAGAGCAGACAGUUUCUUUCACAUCGAUGAAAACAGAUUCCCAGGGAACUGGAGGGCAUUCAGUUUUGAUUUUGAGGCAGAUUCUCGCUAAGUCGCCUAGGCUGGCCUCUAAAUUGUGAUCCUCCUGCCUCAGCUUCCUGAGCAGCUGCGAUUACAGGCCUGUGCCACCACACCCC